CUCUACUUAUUUUCUGUUUCUCUAUGAGAGCCUUAGCCAGACACAGAGAUUGUGAAGCCAGUCCAGGACUCACUCCCCUCUUCAUUUCUGGAAGGAGCAUUGAUUUGAGUGUGGCUGCUCUAGACAAGUAGCAAAGCCCUCCUUGGCCUGGUGAGCCUCAGUCUCUGGGGGGAGGAGGGACAGGGAUGGCUCCUCUGGUUGCUUCUCUGCUUUGGUCUGGUCCUGUCACUUGGAUUCUGUGGACCCUCCCCUAUCUUUAGUGGGCAGUGAUUACUUAGAGAAUUACAUAGAGAAAAGGCAUUUGCAUAAACCAAUUAAUGCCCAGCCUCAGGAUGAAUCUGUCCUUUCAAAGGGCCACGGUGACCGUGUUCUCAUGCCAGCUAGGGUAGAAUAUUUGGGUAACUAUUUCUGCCUUGAAAGCAAACCAUCUGAAAUACAAAUCUGAUCACUCUCUUGCCUAGAGAUGGUAUCCCAUCCCCUGUAACUCCCUCAACCCUAACAGAUUUUGAUUCAAGUCAGGAGUAGCAUCAGGAUUCUGUGCUUUUUUAACCAAUCUUCCCAGGUAGGAUAACUGAUGUUCUAUUUACAUACAUAGGCUUGGAGAGAUUGAGGAAUUUCCCAGGAUGGGGGACCUUCAGUGCUAAAAUUGGGGAAUUCCUAAGAAAAUCAGGAUGAGCUGAUCAUCCUAUUUCUGGGGUUUUAUGAUUUACAGCAAGGUUCAGCAAACAUCGGCCACAGACUAAUUCAGGCUACUGCCUGUUUUUGUAAAUAAAGUUUUAUUGAAACUUAGCCAUACUUGUUCACUUACAUAUUGUCUAUGACUGCUUUUAUGCUACAGUAGGAGAGUUGAAUAGUUGUGACAGAGACUCUAUGACUCACAAAAUGUAAAAUACCUAUUAUUUUUCCCUUUACAGAAAAAGACAAAUGCUGACCCCUGAUUUAUGGAAUGAAAUACAGCAGCCCAAUCCCUUCAUCAUGAGCUGCCCCCUUCCUGUCUAGCCUCAUCUUGACUAUUUCCUUCCUCUCUCUGAUCUCUCAAGUCAUUCUAUCUACUCAUAGCUCCAGAAAAGUGCCACAUGCUCUCCCUCGUCCUUUUAUUUGUCUCUUUUUUUCCCUGGCUGCUCCCUCUGCCUUGAAUGCUUUUCUCCCACUCUGCUUGGCCAAUUCCUUUUGGUCCAACAGGACACAGCUCAGGCAGUCCCUUCUCUAGGAAGUCCUCCCUGACUUUCCACCGUGCCUCUCCUCAUCCCCUCCCCACCCCAGUCCCACAGAUUCAGUGCAGGGGGAGCCUCCUGUGUAAACCUUAACUGUUGCUGCUUUGCCUCUUGGUUUCUCUCAUUGGGCUGUGAGACUUUUCAGGGAGAACACCAUGGCUCAUCCACCUUCAGACCUCCCUCCUUUCAUUUGACUCCUGGCCUGGAAAAAACCUAGUAAAUGAUUGUUGAUUAUGAUUCUAUAAAAUAGACAUAAGAAUUUCCUGGGAAAUUUAUCUGUACUGUGUGUCUUAGCUAGAAACUUAGAUUAUGACUCCUGUUCAGAACUCAACUCUCUUCAUUUCUAUAAGAUGCAUUAGUUUGGGGUGUAAACAACGAGCAAGCCCCCCGCCCCUGGCCCCUAACCUUGGCUUUGAAACCUUUGGAAGUGGAAGAGGGAUAAAUAAUAUUCCCUCCAAUGUGGACAUAUAUGGUAAAUAUUGACCAGGAGAGAUGACUAUUUUUGGUAAAUAUAUUUUUGGAUUUUCAUAAUAAGAAUUGGGUCACAAUAAAAUCUGAAGGAUUUUUUUUUUUCCUGAGAAUAAUUUUGUUUUCUUGGAAAACUCAAAGGAAAUAUGGGAAUCCCCUUUCUUUCCCAUAUUUUUUCCAUUUUUCCCUGGGCCUGGUUGUCUCCAAAUAUACCAGAUGUGAUAAUUUUUGGAGUAAAGCGAGUUAUGUUUUAUGGCCCUAAAUUAAUGAAAUGGCUUUAGAUCAGCAAUGACAUCCAAAAGGUACUUGAAGGCAAGGUCAUUUUUCCAAAAAUUUGUUUUUUGUUUUAAGAGGGUUUUUUUUUUUUCCUCUGUUGCUUUUAUAUUUCCACAAACUUUACCUCUCCAGAUGAACAAUUCUACUCUCCGAAUUAGGAAAAGAAUCCUGAGUACAGUUCAGCUCAGAGUGCUGGGUCUCCAUUUGCCAGGACCUUCCAGGGAAAACCUAGGAGGCUCCUUGAAGGGCUGCCCUGCCGGGGGCUGGAGGGAAGCCUGGUAAGCUUCUGAGAAGGCAGGCCAAGUCAGGGGACCAGUUCUGAAGCAAGGGCCCCUGGGAGUCAUCACACAGGCUGACUGGUAGCACCAGAGGAAGAGAUUCCUGCAUGAGAUGGGUUUGGAGACCUUGCCCACUUUCCUCUGAGCAGUGGGUUUGGCAGGAAUUGGCAAUUGGUUCAUAUUAAAGCUUUGCCCUCAGACCUUUUGUUCCUAUAGUUCCUGUGGACAGAUCUGCUCCCCCUUUCUGUACGACACAAACCUCUGAUGAAGAGGAAGCCAGGAUAAUGGGAAGAUCAUGAUGCUGGAGUUUGGGUCUGAACAUGUCCCAGAUGUCAGAUCCAAGGCAAGUUUUUGUUUGUUUGUUUUAACCUUCUCAACCCAUGACCCUUCUUCUGUAAAAUGGGUAUAAUAAUUUAUGUCUUAGGAGGUUAAAUCUUCAGCGAGAUCACAUAUGGAGAAGUUUUCCAAGUUCUUGGCACAUGUCAGAUACCCUAAGACAGUCUUGGGUGGGAUCUGAGUUCUAAGCAGAUGGACAUAGGCUCUGUGUAGAUGGGAAGCUCUGCCUUGCUCUGGAGAGCACUGAUUUGUCAAAGAGGUCGAGGAGGAACUCAGUCUCACACCUCCUUUUUCCCAGAGACUUCCCAAAGCCUACAACUAAGCUCCUCGGCCAGGAGCUCUUGGAUCCCAGCUAGAACCGGGAGUUAGACCCUGAGGCCCUGGACAGUUCUGGAUUUAGGCCAUCCCAAAGGGAUGUUCCUUAGGGGCCUCUCUUCAGUCAUUGUGUCUCUCCUACAUUUCAUGCUUCCAGGAAGAUUUCAUCUGCCCCCAGAACUUCCAGUGCUCCCUAUGAUCUAAGGUCACCCAAAUCAGAUCUCCAACCUGACCUCUCUUCUAAGCUGGAGACAAAUAGACCCCCUAUUUGCUGGAAAGCUCCCCUGUGCCAUGGCUACUGGGGUACCUCAAGCUCAUGUCCAAAACUUCACUCAUGGUCUUCCUUCUCUACAGUGUCUCCUCUUAUGUUCCCAAUAUGAGUAAAUGACAUUGUCCUUCGCCCUCUUGAUGAAGCCAGACAGUGGAGAGUUAUCCUAGGCCUCCUCCCUUUCUGGUCGCCCUUCAUAUCUAGUCAAUCACAGAGUCAUUUAUUCAGUCAUUAAUUCGACAAACAUUUAUUGAGUGCUUGCUAUGGGUAAAGUGCUACACUGUGUCCUGGAUUAAAAGUGAUGAACAAAAUAAAUAUGCUUUCUGCCACCUCUGGGGAGUCAGACUUCAAACAGAUGAACAUUCAAAUGAAUACAUACUUAUAAAUUCUGAUAAAUGUUCUAAAGGAAAAGUGUGGGUGUUUUAAGGAGUAUAACAGGAAGACUAAAUUUAGACUGGGAAGUCAAGGAAUGUGUCGUAGUUAGGAAUCCUUUGAUUACAAGUAAUAGAAACACAAUUUGAACCAGUUUAAGCAAAGAGAAAGAACUGAUUGAGAAGAUAGUGGGGUUGCUCCUAGAAGCAGAAAGAGCUGCCAGUCCAGGCUUGGAGAAGACCUCAAGGGGGCUGAUGAGAUCCAGAGGCUGGCAACCCUCUGGACUCUCUUUAUUCCUCUUCAUCACAUCUCUCUGAGUUGGCCUCUUACUCUCCUACUGCAGAGAAGCUUUCUCCACACAUGAGAGAAGUAGCUCAGGGACAUAAGACCAAAAAAGCCUACCUUACAACCCCAAAGAGGAAAAUAUGAGGGGAAGACUUCUAUUGAGAGAAAUGGGAACCUAUGAUGUUAGUUCAUCCAGGGUCAGUGCCCACAGCCAGGCACUGAGGGCCAUCGUCUCAAGAAAGGACAGGUAAGUUCAUCAGGAUAUGUCUUUGAGGGAGUGAUAUAUAAAGUGAUAGGAUAUCUAAAAGGUAAAUAAGGUUAACCAGGUAAUACAUGAGGAAAGAACAGUCUAAAUAAACAUUUACUCAUUUAUGUAGCAAAUAUUUAUUGACUGUUUACACAUGGCUUGGGUACACAACUGAGGGAACAAGAAAGACAUAAUGCCUGCCCUUUUGGAGUUUAUAAGUACAAAGAUGUUAAGCAGGAAAAACUAGGUCUCAGAGGACUAUAAGAAGGUCCAAGUGGCUAGAGAACAUUGAGUGAAGGAUUAACAGCACAAGAAAAAGGUGGAGAAGAAAGAAGUCAUAGCCUUCACAUCCUUCAAGGCUAUCCUGAGGUUUUGGAUUUUUCUCAUAAUGCAGUGAGAGGUCACUGAAGAGAUACUAUGAAGUAACAUAACUUGGUUUAUAUUUCUAAAAUAACUUUUAGGAACUUUAAGGAAAAGUAUAGGAUGUUUUAACGAGUAUAAUAGGAAGACUAAAUUUAGACUGGGAAGUCAAGGAAUGUGUCGUAGUUAGGAAUCUUUUGAUUACAAGUAACAGAAACCUUUGUCAAAGGGAUUGUAAAGGAAUGAAAGUUUAAGGACACCAGUUAGAAUCCUAUUACUAUAGGUCAGGCAAGAAAGGGUGAUAGACUAAAAAGACAUAAAGAAGAGAGGGAAUAUGGGAUAUAUCUAGAAGUUAGAUUAAAUAAUACCUGGUAGUAGACUGAUUUUGAGGGCUGCAAGUGAGGGAGGCAAUGACUCCCAGAUUUCUCUUUUGGGUAACUUACUGGUUGAAGGUGUCACUUACCAAGAUGAGGGGACUGCAGGAGGAUGACAUUAGAUUAGGGAAAGGGAAGAGUUUAGUCUUGAACAUGAGAUGCCUAAGUGACAUCUAAACAUAAUGUGAAGUUGCCAGGGGUGUGUGUGUCUGUAUGUGUGCGUGCGCACUGUACAGAAUGGCAUAUAGAGACAUGGAAUGGAUGAACUCAGUUGAGAAGAGUGUAAAGUGAAGAACAGAUAUGGGAUGGAGCAGCCCAGGAGAACUUCAACAUUUAAAGAACAGAUAGAU
RNAcentral lists this long non-coding RNA (5143 nucleotides) under Sus scrofa (pig). Its description in RNAcentral is "lncRNA (ENSSSCG00000055316.1)". Lineage: Eukaryota; Metazoa; Chordata; Mammalia; Artiodactyla; Suidae. The record is from RNAcentral.